GCCGGCAGCUAGCUCUCUGCAACUCUCCCAUGGUCACCCAAUGAAGCUAAGCAGGGCUGCGCCCAGGCAGCACCUGGAUGGGUGACCACAUGAGAAAGCUAGGUUGCUGCCAGAA
This is a ribosomal RNA of Danio rerio (zebrafish), 115 nucleotides long. NCBI's taxonomy places the organism in Eukaryota, Metazoa, Chordata, Actinopteri, Cypriniformes, Danionidae. The record is from Ensembl.